Molecule: non-coding RNA, 512 nt
Organism: Leptonychotes weddellii (Weddell seal)
Lineage: Eukaryota; Metazoa; Chordata; Mammalia; Carnivora; Phocidae
Source: RefSeq, a predicted model, not a curated record
UUUUUUUCAUGAAAAUAAGAUUAUACGAAAUCCUGCCUUCCUUAAAGUCGACAUGACCCAGUGAUGAAGAACCUACAUUGUGAUUUCUACUUGCGCAUCAGGAAUCCAGGAUUAAUUUAAUGAAUACAGCACAACAGUGAUCUCUGAACCCUUGUGUAGGGACCAUUGACAUGGGAAGACAUUGCAACAGAAGUAUCAUCAAGAAUUGGCGAUGCUCAGUUCCCAAGACAUUAUAGCUCUUCUUGUGAUCCCUUAUUAGCCAGUGGGGCACCAACACCACCAGGCUGACGAUACAAGAGAGCAUCAUGUUGGGGAGAGUUUUCUCGCCUUGAGCUGCUGUUUGAAUACUUCAGUCUGUCUUUUUCUACAACCCUGUCAACUGAAGAGAUGGACAGAUUCCACAAGCAAAAGCCUGUAUUGACCAGAAGGUGACUUCAGCACUGUCCACACACCUUCUGACACAGUCUAUAGUAGUCAAAGAAAGAAAGAAAGAAAGAAAGAAAAGAGAGAGA